This 307-nucleotide long non-coding RNA is filed under the name Homo sapiens (human). RNAcentral describes it as "long non-coding RNA NONHSAT151743". The record is from RNAcentral. Lineage: Eukaryota; Metazoa; Chordata; Mammalia; Primates; Hominidae.
GAAUGGGAGCCCUAGUUGCAGUAACGUGUCAUAAUAAAUAAUUGCAUAUUCAGGAUUUUGUGAAAUAGGUGUUUACCUGCAGCAAACCUUUUCUUGAUGAGUGAAAAUCGAUACCCUGCUCCAACAAGUUCAAUGUCACAGCCAGAAAGGGUGCUUCCUUCACUUGUGAACUGCACAACCAAUGGAGAAGGUUUGCUUGGGCCUUCAGAUAACUGAAAUCUUGCCAACAAAGAACCAUUACCUCCAUUUUCUGACUUCUGAGAGAUAUCAGGAAUCUUCCACAAUAUUCUCUGUUGUUCAGCAUUCC